This 385-nucleotide ribosomal RNA is filed under the name uncultured bacterium. RNAcentral's name for it is "bacterial SSU rRNA". It matches the Rfam family "Bacterial small subunit ribosomal RNA", at positions 376 to 774 of the family's 1533-position model. The record is from RNAcentral.
CGAAAGCCUGACGGAGCAAUACCGCGUGAGGGAUGACUGCCUAUGGGUUGUAAACCUCUUUUUUCAGGGAGGAACACAAUGACGUGUACCUGAAGAAUAAGCAUCGGCUAACUCCGUGCCAGCAGCCGCGGUAAGACGGAGGAUGCAAGUGUUAUCCGGAAUCACUGGGCGUAAAGCGUCUGUAGGUGGUUUAAUAAGUCAACUGUUAAAUCUUGAGGCUUAACCUCAAAAUCGCAGUCGAAACUAUUAGACUAGAGUAUAGUAGGGGUAAAGGGAAUUUCCAGUGGAGCGGUGAAAUGCGUAGAUAUUGGAAAGAACACCGAUGGCGAAGGCACUUUACUGGGCUAUUACUGACACUCAGAGACAAAAGCUAGGGUAGCAAAUG